GUUUGCGUAGUUCAAUGGAUAGAACAUUGGCCUCCGAAGCCGAAGAUUCGGGUUCGAGUCCCGACGCGAGCGCCA
This 75-nucleotide transfer RNA is filed under the name Puniceicoccales bacterium. RNAcentral describes it as "tRNA-Arg". It matches the Rfam family "tRNA". Rfam says of the family: Transfer RNA (tRNA) molecules are approximately 80 nucleotides in length. Their secondary structure includes four short double-helical elements and three loops (D, anti-codon, and T loops). Further hydrogen bonds mediate the characteristic L-shaped molecular structure. tRNAs have two regions of fundamental functional importance: the anti-codon, which is responsible for specific mRNA codon recognition, and the 3' end, to which the tRNAs corresponding amino acid is attached (by aminoacyl-tRNA synthetases). tRNAs cope with the degeneracy of the genetic code in two manners: having more than one tRNA (with a specific anti-codon) for a particular amino acid; and 'wobble' base-pairing, i.e. permitting non-standard base-pairing at the 3rd anti-codon position. The record is from RNAcentral. Lineage: Bacteria; Pseudomonadati; Verrucomicrobiota; Opitutia; Puniceicoccales.